AACACCCUCCGGCCCCCGGUUUUUGCGAACCGGCGGGCGCGGGCCCAUGGCGUGGGGAUAGAGGCCACCGCGUUUCGGCGCGUCGAGGCAUUCCCCCGCUUAAACGCGGAGAAAAGCUAGCGGGCAGGUGCCCCCAUCGCGAUGACUCGUAGAUUUAUCUUCCGUCGUCCAGCGUGAGGGAAGCCGCCGCCUAAAAACGAGAGGGAGCCCUUCGCGGGGCGCCCCCUCCAGAA
RNAcentral lists this unclassified non-coding RNA (233 nucleotides) under uncultured Ascomycota. RNAcentral's name for it is "sequence contains ITS2". Lineage: Eukaryota; Fungi; Ascomycota. The record is from RNAcentral.